UAUAAAUGCAGUGAUCGCGUUACUGUUGACUUGCUCUACAGCUAAAACCCUCAAUACUCUGCAUAUCAUCCAAAGUUACAAGUAGUAUUGAGCACCUGGUUACUUUACCGACGGACACAAAUCAAGUACGUCGUGAUGUGUAGACGCAGAGAUCAACUGAAAUCUUCAUACAAAUACAUGGCGAAACGGAUAGGCUAAGGCCUGAGCGUGCAUGAAUCCCUGCCGUACCAUGAAAUAUAUCAGCGGUUCCGUUCAGGCACGUUCCGCGUAGCCGUGUGAUCAGCAUCUUACGACGACAGUGAGCCCAUGUCAGGCAGGCGGUAGGUUAUCGUGCCCGCGGUGUGCUGAGCUGCUAGGUGCCGCUGGUAAUCUGCCAGGCGCUGCGAUGUUCCCUCCUGCAGCAGAGCGUAAAAAUCCUCGUUGCGGAAGCGAUCCAUACAUACAUACGUGGUACAAUUAAACCUCGGAUGACCGAUCGGAAGGAUUUUCGACCCUGACAGGUCUCGAUGUAUGUACGUUGUUACAGGGUGGUAUAGCUUCACCAGCGGCCCCCUUUCCCGAGGGAGUUCCCUGCUCUCCCCUGCUAGAGGGGCACCCUAAUCCGCUCACCCCAUCCGACCUCAGAAUGUAUUCGUUGGGUUCAGCAACUCACCACCAGCAUCCAACCAAAUCCAGCGGACCAACUGCGCCUCAACUUAGUUCCAGGUCAGCUCGCAAGUUGAGUAUCUCGUCCUACACUGACCAUAACAUGGGGGGCCGCCUACCAUUUCGACCCCUCUCUCACACCCGGGAGGACGGUAGACGGUUUUGAACCCGGAUACUCAGGGAGCAGAAGUCAGGCCUUAGGGCCCCUCUGCCAACCGCCUGCCCUAUGUAUGUAUGUUUGUGGAUAGGUAAAUAUGUGUUGUGCUCGCAUUAUUCAUACAACCAAUUGACAGCGGACCAAAACUAAUGUGUAUUGAUCUAGUGAGGAGGCGGUUUCCUGAGCACUACUAGUACCUGGCACCAGCUUGCACCUACAUUUGCAAGUCGUCACCAGCAUUUUGUUGCCGUUUGCUCUGCCAAUAGCCCCUGAACAGGACACCACCAUUGAACCAGUCGGUCGGCACGGUAAGCUUGGAUUCAAACAAUCAAGUGAUACCUUUCCGAAUUUGGAGUUUAAGAAGCUAGCAGCUGAAGGAGGCCUUAUCAAGGUUAAGCAAAAAGGAAUGAAAGCUGUUCAUGGUGCACCUGUACAUAAUAAAAGGAAAGAGAUGUAACGUUGCAAGGGACUAACUUAAAAAAGCAAGGCACUAUGGCUAAUGGUAUCGGUUGUAAGUUGUAAAAUGAAAAUAAUAAAAAUAUGUUUUAACAGUAAGGUUAAUUUACUACCUUUAUAUGUUUUCGUUUCCAGUUCGGCGGUUCAUGAGCCUCUUGGCUCGUUUGGACCGUACAAGCUAGAAGCUUGUAACACAAACAAAAAAAAUUAGUUGGAAGCGUCUCGAUGGAUAACACGAUUUACAUUAUUUGUAUCCUUGCUCAAUCGCAACGGCAGACCACAAAACUACAGUCCGAGUCUCGGACUACGAAAGCACAUAACAACGGAAAUCCAAUCAUAACGCGACAAGUUGGGUGUCGGCUUCAAGGAAGCCGGAAAAAGGGCGGGGCCCCUCUGCAUCCGUACAGGCCGGUAGCAAGGGUGGCAAGUGUGACAAUUGAUGGGUAGUGUCAACGCGAUGGGAGAUGUGCUUUGUUGCAGCAGUGCUGAUGGUGUGAGAGCUAAGCUUGCACCGGCGGAAUCGUCAGCACCGCCUGCGGGCUCCACGCGAAUCGCAUCCAUUCCGGGCAUGCACCCGGAAUGGACCCGGCAUUCCGGGUGCAUGCCGCACCCGGCAUUCCGGGUGCAUGCCGCAUGGACAGUGCGGCAGACCGCAAGUCGGAAU
This 1922-nucleotide long non-coding RNA is filed under the name Volvox carteri. Its description in RNAcentral is "long non-coding RNA (VCAR_LNC004110)". Lineage: Eukaryota; Viridiplantae; Chlorophyta; Chlorophyceae; Chlamydomonadales; Volvocaceae. The record is from RNAcentral.